GCCCAGGUGGUGAAACUGGUAUACACGUCACCUUGAGGUGGUGGUGGGAGCAAUCCCGUGGAGGUUCGAGUCCUCUCCUGGGCACCA
RNAcentral lists this transfer RNA (87 nucleotides) under Patescibacteria group bacterium. RNAcentral's name for it is "tRNA-Leu". It matches the Rfam family "tRNA". Rfam says of the family: Transfer RNA (tRNA) molecules are approximately 80 nucleotides in length. The record is from RNAcentral.